This 478-nucleotide ribosomal RNA is filed under the name uncultured bacterium. RNAcentral describes it as "partial 16S ribosomal RNA". It matches the Rfam family "Bacterial small subunit ribosomal RNA", at positions 28 to 523 of the family's 1533-position model. The record is from RNAcentral.
GACAAACGCUGGCGGCGUGCUUAACACAUGCAAGUCGAACGGUAAGGCCCUUCGGGGUACACGAGUGGCGAACGGGUGAGUAACACGUGGGUGAUCUGCCCCGCACUUCGGGAUAAGCCUGGGAAACUGGGUCUAAUACCGGAUGGGACUCCUGGCUUCAUGGUUGGGGGGGGAAAGCUGUUGCGGUGUGGGAUGGGCCCGGGGCCUAUCAGCUUGUUGGUGGGGUAAUGGCCUACCAAGGCGACGACGGGUAGCCGGCCUGAGAGGGUGACCGGUCACACUGGGACUGAGAUACGGCCCAGACUCCUACGGGAGGCAGCAGUGGGGAAUAUUGCACAAUGGGCGCAAGCCUGAUGCAGCGACGCCGCGUGAGGGAUGACGGCCUUCGGGUUGUAAACCUCUUUCAGCUAUGACGAAGCGCAAGUGACGGUAGUAGCAGAAGAAGGACCGGCCAACUACGUGCCAGCCGCCGCAGUAA